This 2165-nucleotide ribosomal RNA is filed under the name Staphylococcus aureus M1036. Its description in RNAcentral is "bacterial LSU rRNA". It matches the Rfam family "Bacterial large subunit ribosomal RNA", at positions 3 to 2166 of the family's 2925-position model. The record is from RNAcentral. Lineage: Bacteria; Bacillati; Bacillota; Bacilli; Caryophanales; Staphylococcaceae.
UUAAGUUAUUAAGGGCGCACGGUGGAUGCCUUGGCACUAGAAGCCGAUGAAGGACGUUACUAACGACGAUAUGCUUUGGGGAGCUGUAAGUAAGCUUUGAUCCAGAGAUUUCCGAAUGGGGAAACCCAGCAUGAGUUAUGUCAUGUUAUCGAUAUGUGAAUACAUAGCAUAUCAGAAGGCACACCCGGAGAACUGAAACAUCUUAGUACCCGGAGGAAGAGAAAGAAAAUUCGAUUCCCUUAGUAGCGGCGAGCGAAACGGGAAGAGCCCAAACCAACAAGCUUGCUUGUUGGGGUUGUAGGACACUCUAUACGGAGUUACAAAGGACGACAUUAGACGAAUCAUCUGGAAAGAUGAAUCAAAGAAGGUAAUAAUCCUGUAGUCGAAAAUGUUGUCUCUCUUGAGUGGAUCCUGAGUACGACGGAGCACGUGAAAUUCCGUCGGAAUCUGGGAGGACCAUCUCCUAAGGCUAAAUACUCUCUAGUGACCGAUAGUGAACCAGUACCGUGAGGGAAAGGUGAAAAGCACCCCGGAAGGGGAGUGAAAUAGAACCUGAAACCGUGUGCUUACAAGUAGUCAGAGCCCGUUAAUGGGUGAUGGCGUGCCUUUUGUAGAAUGAACCGGCGAGUUACGAUUUGAUGCAAGGUUAAGCAGUAAAUGUGGAGCCGUAGCGAAAGCGAGUCUGAAUAGGGCGUUUAGUAUUUGGUCGUAGACCCGAAACCAGGUGAUCUACCCUUGGUCAGGUUGAAGUUCAGGUAACACUGAAUGGAGGACCGAACCGACUUACGUUGAAAAGUGAGCGGAUGAACUGAGGGUAGCGGAGAAAUUCCAAUCGAACCUGGAGAUAGCUGGUUCUCUCCGAAAUAGCUUUAGGGCUAGCCUCAAGUGAUGAUUAUUGGAGGUAGAGCACUGUUUGGACGAGGGGCCCCUCUCGGGUUACCGAAUUCAGACAAACUCCGAAUGCCAAUUAAUUUAACUUGGGAGUCAGAACAUGGGUGAUAAGGUCCGUGUUCGAAAGGGAAACAGCCCAGACCACCAGCUAAGGUCCCAAAAUAUAUGUUAAGUGGAAAAGGAUGUGGCGUUGCCCAGACAACUAGGAUGUUGGCUUAGAAGCAGCCAUCAUUUAAAGAGUGCGUAAUAGCUCACUAGUCGAGUGACACUGCGCCGAAAAUGUACCGGGGCUAAACAUAUUACCGAAGCUGUGGAUUGUCCUUUGGACAAUGGUAGGAGAGCGUUCUAAGGGCGUUGAAGCAUGAUCGUAAGGACAUGUGGAGCGCUUAGAAGUGAGAAUGCCGGUGUGAGUAGCGAAAGACGGGUGAGAAUCCCGUCCACCGAUUGACUAAGGUUUCCAGAGGAAGGCUCGUCCGCUCUGGGUUAGUCGGGUCCUAAGCUGAGGCCGACAGGCGUAGGCGAUGGAUAACAGGUUGAUAUUCCUGUACCACCUAUAAUCGUUUUAAUCGAUGGGGGGACGCAGUAGGAUAGGCGAAGCGUGCGAUUGGAUUGCACGUCUAAGCAGUAAGGCUGAGUAUUAGGCAAAUCCGGUACUCGUUAAGGCUGAGCUGUGAUGGGGAGAAGACAUUGUGUCUUCGAGUCGUUGAUUUCACACUGCCGAGAAAAGCCUCUAGAUAGAAAAUAGGUGCCCGUACCGCAAACCGACACAGGUAGUCAAGAUGAGAAUUCUAAGGUGAGCGAGCGAACUCUCGUUAAGGAACUCGGCAAAAUGACCCCGUAACUUCGGGAGAAGGGGUGCUCUUUAGGGUUAACGCCCAGAAGAGCCGCAGUGAAUAGGCCCAAGCGACUGUUUAUCAAAAACACAGGUCUCUGCUAAACCGUAAGGUGAUGUAUAGGGGCUGACGCCUGCCCGGUGCUGGAAGGUUAAGAGGAGUGGUUAGCUUCUGCGAAGCUACGAAUCGAAGCCCCAGUAAACGGCGGCCGUAACUAUAACGGUCCUAAGGUAGCGAAAUUCCUUGUCGGGUAAGUUCCGACCCGCACGAAAGGCGUAACGAUUUGGGCACUGUCUCAACGAGAGACUCGGUGAAAUCAUAGUACCUGUGAAGAUGCAGGUUACCCGCGACAGGACGGAAAGACCCCGUGGAGCUUUACUGUAGCCUGAUAUUGAAAUUCGGCACAGCUUGUACAGGAUAGGUAGGAGCCUUUGAAACGUG